CUUUAAAAGCUCUCUUUGUGCAGUGUUAUCAAGUAAUAAAGAGUGUACAUUUCUCAUAUAAUCUUGCUUUCUCUGUUGUCGCAUGCCAAGCAAGGCGGACCCAAGAUUUGGCUUGGGUGGGCGGGCGCCCCACUAGAAAAAAAAAUGUGGUGUAUUUUUGAGGUACAUGAGUUUGGCUUUGGGAUUUUGGCUUAUCUUGUGAUACUUGAUGCAAGUCAUAUUAAAUAAUGUUUUGGACAAAUUUUAAAACUAUUUUGGGACUAAGUGUACUAAGAUCCAUAAGGAUCAAACAACUAUGUCGUGGUUGUGGUUUGUGUUUGAAACUUUAAACUUUAAGCUUUAAACUUAUGUUUUAAUUAAGGCGUAUGUCCAAAAUUAA
Molecule: long non-coding RNA, 379 nt
Organism: Helianthus annuus (common sunflower)
Lineage: Eukaryota; Viridiplantae; Streptophyta; Magnoliopsida; Asterales; Asteraceae
Exons: 2
Source: RefSeq, a predicted model, not a curated record